UAGGGAAUCUUCGGCAAUGGGGGGAACCCUGACCGAGCAACGCCGCGUGAGUGAAGAAGGUUUUCGGAUCGUAAAGCUCUGUUGUUAAGGAAGAACGAGUGUGAGAAUGGAAAGUUCAUACUGUGACGGUACUUAACCAGAAAGGGACGGCUAACUACGUGCCAGCAGCCGCGGUAAUACGUAGGUCCCGAGCGUUGUCCGGAUUUAUUGGGCGUAAAGCGAGCGCAGGCGGUUAGAUAAGUCUGAAGUUAAAGGCAGUGGCUCAACCAUUGUAGUCUUUGGAAACUGUUUAACUUGAGUGCAGAAGGGGAGAGGGGAAUUCCAUGUGUAGCGGUGAAAUGCGUAGAUAUAUGAAGGAACACCGGUGGCGAAAGCGGCUCUCUGGUCUGUAACUGACGCAGAGGCUCGAAAGCGUGGGGAGCGAACAGG
Molecule: ribosomal RNA, 429 nt
Filed under: Bacteroidota bacterium
Lineage: Bacteria; Pseudomonadati; Bacteroidota
Description: Bacteroidetes bacterium partial 16S ribosomal RNA
Rfam family: Bacterial small subunit ribosomal RNA
Source: RNAcentral